RNAcentral lists this ribosomal RNA (301 nucleotides) under uncultured bacterium. RNAcentral describes it as "partial 16S ribosomal RNA". It matches the Rfam family "Bacterial small subunit ribosomal RNA", at positions 509 to 807 of the family's 1533-position model. The record is from RNAcentral.
CAGUCGCCGCGGGAAUACAGAGGGUGCGAGCGUUAAUCGGAUUUACUGGGCGUAAAGCGUGCGUAGGCGGCUUCUUAAGUCGGAUGUGAAAUCCCUGAGCUUAACUUAGGAAUUGCAUUCGAUACUGGGAAGCUAGAGUAUGGGAGAGGAUGGUAGAAUUCCAGGUGUAGCGGUGAAAUGCGUAGAGAUCUGGAGGAAUACCGAUGGCGAAGGCAGCCAUUUGGCCUAAUACUGACGCUGAGGUACGAAAGCAUGGGGAGCAAACAGGAUUAGAUACCCCAGUAGUCCCUGUCUCUUAUAC